Molecule: non-coding RNA, 405 nt
Organism: Rattus rattus (black rat)
Lineage: Eukaryota; Metazoa; Chordata; Mammalia; Rodentia; Muridae
Source: the annotation of a RefSeq genome assembly
AUGAAAUGCAGGUGGAUCAUCCUCUUCUUGAUGGCAGUAGCUACAGGGGUCAACUCAGAAAUCCAGCUGCAGCAAUCUGGGCCUGAGCUUCAGAGACCCGGGGCCUCAGUCAAGUUGUCGUGCAAGGCUUCUGGCUACACCUUUACAGAAUACUAUAUGUACUGGGUGAAGCAGAGGCCUAAUCAGGGCCUGGAAUUAAUAGGAAGGAUUGAUCCAGAGGAUGGUAGUACUGAUUAUGCUGAGAAGUUCAAAAACAAGGCCACACUGACUGCAGAUACAUCGUCCAACACAGCCUACAUGCAACUCAGCAGCCUAACAUCUGAGGACACAGCAAUCUAUUUCUGUGCUAGACACAGUAUUAGCACUGUAGUUUUUAGUCUGAUACUGGGAAAGAAGGAUAACUGA